CGUCUAUAUACGUAUAGCAUAUCAAUAAGCGGAGGAAAAGAAACUAACAAGGAUUCCCCUAGUAACGGCGAGUGAAGCGGGAAGAGCUCAAAUUUGAAAUCUUAAAGGGUUUCCCUUUACGAAUUGUAGUUUAAAGAAGUGUUUUCUGUUGGAGUUUCGGUAAAAGUUCUUUGGAAUGGGACAUCAUAGAGGGUGAGAAUCCCGUAUUUGACCGUUACUUUCCAGCUGUGUGAUACACUUUCAAAGAGUCGGAUUGUUUGGGAAUGCAGUCCAAAAUGGGUGGUAAAUUUCAUCUAAAGCUAAAUACUGGCGAAAGACCGAUAGCGAACAAGUACCGUGAGGGAAAGAUGAAAAGAACUUUGAAAAGAGAGUUAAACAGUACGUGAAAUUGUCAAAAGGGAAGCGUUUGACACCAGUGUUGUCUUCUCGAAAAUCAAUUAAAGAUGGUGGGAUGUUGUGUUGUAUUGACUUUAUCAGCUUUCUGCACUUUUUUUCCUAUCUUUUUUAAUGCACUUUUCGUUUAACAAGUCAACAUCAAUUUCUUUUGUUGUAAAAGAGUCAUUGGAGGGUGGCUUUCUUUUCGGAGAAAGUGUUUAUAGCCUUUGGCUUCUGCAAUCGGAGAGAUUGAGGUCUAGCAGCGUAGAUCCUUCGGGGUUAGAUGCAUUUGUGCUAAGUUAUAGCCUUUCAUAGACAACUUGUUGACUAUGAUCAGUCAUGUAGCUUACUCGCUUACUGUCAUUUUACCUACGCUUAGGAUGUUGACGAGACUGUCGAUCUC
This 778-nucleotide ribosomal RNA is filed under the name uncultured Neocallimastigales. RNAcentral's name for it is "partial large subunit ribosomal RNA". It matches the Rfam family "Eukaryotic large subunit ribosomal RNA", at positions 26 to 634 of the family's 3401-position model. The record is from RNAcentral. Lineage: Eukaryota; Fungi; Neocallimastigomycota; Neocallimastigomycetes; Neocallimastigales.